RNAcentral lists this ribosomal RNA (121 nucleotides) under Acipenser sturio (sturgeon). The record is from RNAcentral. Lineage: Eukaryota; Metazoa; Chordata; Actinopteri; Acipenseriformes; Acipenseridae.
GCCUGCGGCCACACUACUUUGAAUAAGCCUGAUCUCGUCUGAUCUCAGAAGUGAAACAAUGUUGGGCUUGGUUAGUACUAGGAUGGGAGACCACCUGGGAAUAUCAAGUGCUGUAGGCAUU